RNAcentral lists this long non-coding RNA (525 nucleotides) under Theobroma cacao (cacao). RNAcentral describes it as "long non-coding RNA (TCAC_LNC000276)". Lineage: Eukaryota; Viridiplantae; Streptophyta; Magnoliopsida; Malvales; Malvaceae. The record is from RNAcentral.
UAUAUUUUAAGUGUAUACAAAAUUUGAAUAGCCUUGGCGGACUCGGUUAGAUGCCCUGCGCAAGGUAUCACCGAGUAUGAGUUUUGGCACGAGCCAAAGUUUUAAGAAAUUCAUAAGCCAAGUUGAUUACUCAAUUUUUAUGGAUUGAUUUUAUUUGGUUGAAAUGAGUUGAAAGGUAAUGAAAUUACAGUAUGAUGAUUUAUUUUAAUUGUCUCCAUUUACUCGACUUUAGAUAGUUUAGAUGGUAUCUGUUUACUCACUGGGAUUUUAUAAUCUCACCACCCUCAUUUUCUCACAUUUCAGGCUCGGGGAAUUCCAUAGUUAGCUGACUUUGACAAAGACUUUCAUUUGGACUCGAAUCGGUACAAGUUGUAGGUUUCCAGCUUCCGAUGCAUUUUGGAUAGAUGUGGGCCCACGUGUCACUGUAAAAGAAAUUUUAUGCUUUGGUUAUUUGCUUUAUAGUAUAUAUGAAUAUAAUUAUCUUUUAUGCUAUAAGAAUUAUGUACCGAUAGUUUUAUGAAAAUU